Molecule: long non-coding RNA, 324 nt
Organism: Salvia miltiorrhiza (redroot sage)
Lineage: Eukaryota; Viridiplantae; Streptophyta; Magnoliopsida; Lamiales; Lamiaceae
Exons: 2
Source: RefSeq, a predicted model, not a curated record
UCAAUCUUGCUGGGGAGCCCUCUUGGGCCUCAUCUCCAAGAGGUGGAUCAGAAGGAUUAAGAAGGUUGAAAGCUUCUAUGGCAAACAAGGAAUGGGUGGCUGAUUUAGAGAAACCCAAGGGUGAUCCAUCUUCAUUUAUAAAACCAGCAACAACUGUUUUGUCACCUUACUUAAAAGUUAAAAGUAGGUUAUGCAUAGUGUUUUCGAUUUGUUUAUUUAUGCUAUGUUUCUUUCUUUGCGGAGGAAAAAGAAUCUCGCAUUCGUUUAUGUUAUUGCUCUGUUUUUCUCUUUGUUUAAUCAUUAAGCUUAUUGCGCUUCUUCUUC